Molecule: long non-coding RNA, 951 nt
Filed under: Zostera marina
Lineage: Eukaryota; Viridiplantae; Streptophyta; Magnoliopsida; Alismatales; Zosteraceae
Description: long non-coding RNA (ZMAR_LNC000954)
Source: RNAcentral
CCGAGGUGUGGGCAUUGUCGCCUCGAGUUGCCUUCCUCGACCAGCAACGCUCCAUUCUUAGUGUCGACAAUGGUACUCUCCGGCAACGCAUUACAGCUCUUACCCAAGACAAGAUUUUUAAGGAUGGUAAGAAAUAAACCAAUUCAAAUAGGCUCUUUUUUUUUAAAUCUAAAAUUGAUUUAGAAAUUUCACUGCAUGCAGCUCACCAGGAAGCACUGAAGAAAGAGAUCGAAAGGCUAAACCAAGUGUACCAUCAACUAAACCUGGAGAAGAUAGCUUCCACAAGCACCACACCCACAGCUGCGGGCAUUGAAACAUCCAUGAAGCCCAUCUCCUGCGAAAAAGAUAAACUGAGUGGUGAAAAACAACAACAGCAGUAAAUAGCAGCAAAUUGUUUUCUUAAUUAUCAUCAUCAUGUGUAUUUUUCAUUAUGUUGAUUCUUACUUAUUUUCUGUGAAGUUGUAACUUGUAUGUAAUUCAUGCAACUAUCUAUCAUUUAUUUACUUGUUUAAUUUUCAUUAUUAAAAAGAAAAAGAUUGAAACCUACAUGUGAAGAGCAUGUGUGUGUUGGUCUCUACUUUUAUUCCUUGAUGGCUUCUUCUUCUAUUGUCUUAGCUGGACGUGGAAAAAGUUUACAACUAUGUAUUGUGGUAUUAAUAGACAAGUUGAUGUAUAAGACUGCAGAUAUAAAAACAAGGCAAGCUAAACACAUGUGUGGAGAUUUCUUCUACAAUAGCUUUUUAGAUCUGGUGGAUGGAUUAUACUGGUGGUCCUCUUUUUUAUUUAUUGAUAGAAAUAUAGAUGAGAUGCCAUAUGCAUGUGCCAUUGCCUCCUCAAUUCAAAAAAAUCGUUAUAUUUGUUUCAAUAAAUUCAUUUAAGAGAUUCAUAUUUUACCUGUCGAAAAUAUAAGAAGGGAAAAUCAGGUCAAUCUUAUAUGUCAUAGUUUUGAAU